GCGGCAGGCCUAACACAUGCAAGUCGAGCGGUAGAGAGUAGCUUGCUACUCUUGCGAGCGGCGGACGGGUGAGUAACGCGUAGGAAUCUACCUAGUAGUGGGGGAUAGCCCAGAGAAAUUUGGAUUAAUACCGCAUACGCCCUACGGGGGAAAGGAGGGGAUCUUCGGACCUUUCGCUAUUAGAUGAGCCUGCGUGAGAUUAGCUAGUUGGUGAGGUAAAGGCUCACCAAGGCGACGAUCUCUAGCUGGUCUGAGAGGAUGAUCAGCCACACUGGGACUGAGACACGGCCCAGACUCCUACGGGAGGCAGCAGUGGGGAAUAUUGGACAAUGGGGGCAACCCUGAUCCAGCCAUGCCGCGUGUGUGAAGAAGGCCUUCGGGUUGUAAAGCACUUUCAGCGAGGAGGAAGGGAUGUUGCUUAAUACGUAACAUUCUUGACGUUACUCGCAGAAGAAGGACCGGCUAACUCCGUGCCAGCAGCCGCGGUAAUACGGAGGGUCCGAGCGUUAAUCGGAAUUACUGGGCGUAAAGCGUACGCAGGCGGUUGGUUAAGCGAGAUGUGAAAGCCCAGGGCUCAACCUGGGAACUGCAUACCAAACUGCGCAACUAGAGUACGAUAGAGGGGGGUAGAAUUUCAGGUGUAGCGGUGAAAUGCGUAGAGAUCUGAAGGAAUACCGGUGGCGAAGGCGGCCCCCUGGAUUGAUACUGACACUGAGGUGCGAAAGCGUGGGUAGCAAACAGGAUUAGAUACCCUGGUAGUCCACGCCGUAAACGAUGUCUACUAGCCGUUGGAACCCUUAGAGGUUUUAGUGGCGCAGCAAACGCAAUAAGUAGACCGCCUGGGGAGUACGGCCGCAAGGCUAAAACUCAAAUGAAUUGACGGGGGCCCGCACAAGCGGUGGAGCAUGUGGUUUAAUUCGACGCAACGCGAAGAACCUUACCUACUCUUGACAUCCUCGGAACUUAGCAGAGAUGCUUUGGUGCCUUCGGGAACUGUGAGACAGGUGCUGCAUGGCUGUCGUCAGCUCGUGUUGUGAAAUGUUGGGUUAAGUCCCGUAACGAGCGCAACCCUUGUCCUUAUUUGCCAGCACGUAAUGGUGGGAACUUUAAGGAGACUGCCGGUGACAAACCGGAGGAAGGUGGGGACGACGUCAAGUCAUCAUGGCCCUUACGACCAGGGCUACACACGUGCUACAAUGGUAAGUACAAAGGGACGCCAAACCGCGAGGUGGAGCUAAUCCCACAAAGCUUAUCGUAGUCCGGAUUGGAGUCUGCAACUCGACUCCAUGAAGUCGGAAUCGCUAGUAAUCGUGAAUCAGAAUGUCACGGUGAAUACGUUCCCGGGCCUUGUACACACCGCCCGUCACACCAUGGGAGUGGAUUGCACCAGAAGUAGGUAGCUUAACCUUCGGGGGAGCGCUUACCACGGUGUGGUUC
RNAcentral lists this ribosomal RNA (1437 nucleotides) under uncultured prokaryote. Its description in RNAcentral is "partial 16S ribosomal RNA". It matches the Rfam family "Bacterial small subunit ribosomal RNA". The record is from RNAcentral.